UCUCCUUUGAUCUUGGUUAAUAUAUACCAAGGAUUUGACAAACAUAAUCUUAUAAAAUAUUUCAUAUUUCUUAAUUUCAUCUAUAAGAUCUUGGUGCAUAUCUUUAUCCUUAGAAAAGACCAAGGCUGCUACAUUUGCAUGCUGGGAGAUAGUAGAGUCAUCAAAAGGGUUAGCGAUAGAGGGAGGAUAGUUCACCUUGAAACUUGUACUCAUCUAGCCA
Molecule: long non-coding RNA, 220 nt
Filed under: Elaeis guineensis (African oil palm)
Lineage: Eukaryota; Viridiplantae; Streptophyta; Magnoliopsida; Arecales; Arecaceae
Description: long non-coding RNA (EGUI_LNC069172)
Source: RNAcentral